RNAcentral lists this ribosomal RNA (875 nucleotides) under uncultured archaeon. RNAcentral describes it as "bacterial SSU rRNA". It matches the Rfam family "Archaeal small subunit ribosomal RNA", at positions 21 to 903 of the family's 1478-position model. The record is from RNAcentral.
CCUGACUGCUAUCGGAUUGGUACUAAGCCAUGUGAGUCAUUGUAGCAAUACAAGGCAGACGGCUCAGUAACACGUAGUCAAUCUAACCUAUGGACGGGGAUAACCUCGGGAAACUGAGGAUAAAACCCGAUAGAUCAUUAUACCUGGAACGGUUUAUGGUCCAAAUGAUUCGUCGCCGUAGGAUGGGACUGCGGCCUAUCAGCUUGUUGGUGAGGUAAUGGCCCACCAAGGCUAUUACAGGUACGGGCUCUGAGAGGAGAAGCCCGGAGAUGGGUACUGAGACACGGACCCAGGCCCUAUGGGGCGCAGCAGGCGAGAAACCUUUGCAAUGUGCGCAAGCACGACAAGGUUAAUCCGAGUGUUUCCUGCUAAAGGAAUCUUUUGUUAGUUCUAAAACCACUGAUGAAUAAGGGGUGGGCAAGUUCUGGUGUCAGCCGCCGCGGUAAAACCAGCACCUCAAGUGGUCAGGAGGAUUAUUGGGCCUAAAGCAUCCGUAGCCUGUUCUAUAAGUUUCCGGUUAAAUCCAUUAGCUCAACUAAUGGGCUGCCGAAAAUACUGUGGAACUAGGGAGUGGGAGAGGUAGACGGUACUCGGUAGGAAGGGGUAAAAUCCUUUGAUCUAUUGAUGACCACCUGUGGCGAAGGCGGUCUACCAGAACACGUUCGACGGUGAGGGAUGAAAGCUGGGGGAGCAAACCGGAUUAGAUACCCGGGUAGUCCCAGCUGUAAACUAUGCAAACUCAGUGAUGCAUUGGCUUGUGGCCAGUGCAGUGCCGCAGGGAAGCCGUUAAGUUUGCCGCCUGGGAAGUACGUACGCAAGUAUGAAACUUAAAGGAAUUGGCGGGGGAGCACCACAAGGGGUGAAGCCUGCGGUUC